GGAGCCAUAGCUCAGCGGGAGAGCACCUGCUUCACAGGCAGGGGGUCGUGGGUUCGAAACCCUCUAGCUCCACCA
Molecule: transfer RNA, 75 nt
Filed under: Acholeplasmataceae bacterium
Lineage: Bacteria; Bacillati; Mycoplasmatota; Mollicutes; Acholeplasmatales; Acholeplasmataceae
Also listed under: 1 other name
Description: tRNA-Val
Rfam family: tRNA
About the family: Transfer RNA (tRNA) molecules are approximately 80 nucleotides in length. Their secondary structure includes four short double-helical elements and three loops (D, anti-codon, and T loops).
Source: RNAcentral